RNAcentral lists this ribosomal RNA (231 nucleotides) under uncultured bacterium. Its description in RNAcentral is "partial 16S ribosomal RNA". It matches the Rfam family "Bacterial small subunit ribosomal RNA", at positions 28 to 250 of the family's 1533-position model. The record is from RNAcentral.
GACGAACGCUGGCGGCGUGCUUAACACAUGCAAGUCGAGCGGUAAGGCCCUUCGGGUACACGAGCGGCGAACGGGUGAGUAACACGUGGGUGACCUGCCCUCAGCUCUGGGAUAAGCCUGGGAAACCGGGUCUAAUACCGGAUAUGACCAUUGGAUGCAUGUCUGGUGGUGGAAAGCCAGUUACUUUUGUUUCUGGCGGCUGGGGAUGGGCCCGCGGCCUAUCAGCUUGUU